UUCAGCGAAGCACAGCGGCUGAACCGGGCCCCACAUCGCGACGCCGGUGCUUCCCUGCCGCCCACCAGCACUGCCUGGAGGCACCGGUUCGGGACCGCAGCUCUCCGCAAAGCCGAAGCCGCGGUCCCGCUUGCAGCGCAGCCCCGGAGCGGAGCGGCCCUGCCCCCCGCGCAGAUGUCCCGCCUGGCCGGCCCGCUCCGCCGCCGCACGGGAGACGCCGCUCGGGAAAUCUGCCGCCGUCGGCAGAAGACAAAACCGCCGGCAAGCCGUCGGCCGGCGAUGAAAGGAGCGGGAGAGCGGGAGCGGCCCCGCAGAGGCCCCUCCGGAACAAUGGCGGUCCCUCAGGAGCCCGCGGCCGAGCGCUGCUGACAAAGGCGCUGGCUGCACCGGGCCGCAGCUGCUGCUUCGCGGCACGGCGAGGGAGCGCGCGUUACUUUCAUCCAAAUCCUCUUAGGCGGUGUGACCGCCAGCAGCGGGCAGCGCUCACGCUCCGCGCCGAUCCGAGCGCAGAGGGGCGAGUUCCGUGCGGCGCCUCGCGCGGUGACUGUGGGGAUGGAGCUGGGAGCGGGGCGGCGGAGGGGCGCGUGACGGAGCGCGGUGCUGUGCCGGGAAGACGCUGAACUUCUCGUGUGCUGAGGAGCCAGAUGAGCAGCACAAGUCAUUAGUCACCCAGGUCUGCUGAAUCAGACUCUGUGUCAGUGAUGCUGGAGGCAGCUCAGUCAUCUGCAGAUCUGGUCCCUGCCUGUGUAGGGCAUUGCUGGGAGAGCACAACCACAACCUCAGCCCCAAGGAGCACAAGGUCUCUUCAUUGCUAUCUCCACUUGCUGCAGAAAUCGAGUACUUCUGCACGUGGGAGGCAUGGUGCAGCACAGAUUUAUCACGGAAAAACAGAGCACUCCUUGCUGAAGACACACAGCUAAUACCUCUGAAGGCUACAGGCCUGUUGGAGGGGAGCUAAAUCAUAUGCUGGUAUGUAUUUCAUCUCGCAGCCAUAAAAAGGGUGGUUUUGUGAAUCCUUCCUACACUGAAAUGCAAUACGGACUCCCUUUGCUGCCCCUGUUAGAGGUGAGAUGCACAAGCAUUUGCUGUGGGAUCUGGAUACAAAAUGUGAGGCAAAUCCCCAGAGCAGCCUAAGAGCAGGGCUCGGAUCACCAGGCACUUUGUCUGUCCCCUGGUUGCCUCCCCAUGAGCUCCUUUAGCUCCCCACACAGGUGCGGGCUGCCAGAGACAGGCCGGGAGCAGCAAGCUCAUUGCUUAUUGAAGAGCUGCAGGUUCACAGCCAUGCUGUUGUGCAGCCUGCAGAGCAUAUUUUUGGCUACUUCAGGGGAAGAAGCACAAGGCACAGGUCUUCUCGCCUCACUGCAGCACGCUCGGGAACAGUUGUUAUGUCUCAGCCCAGAUGCUUCAUUUCAGAGGCAAACAGUGUGAUUCCUGUAUACAUUUGCUUUCUCAGUUUGUCAAGCACUUAAGUGCCUUUCAUCCUGAAGUAUCCUAAACGAUAAUAUGCACUUACGUAGCUCAAGCUCCUCUAAUGAACGAGGUCCUCCAUAAACGCUAAGUAAUUAAGCCUCACAACAGCCUGACAAUCCGGGAACAACUCUUCAUGAUUGUGCCGAGGAUGAGCAGAUGCUGCGCAGACACAGGCAGGCAGAUGGGCAGCAACAGAGGCCCUGGGCUGGGGCUGCCAGCUGAGCCCACACCAGCACUGUGGCCUCACAUCCCACACAUCAGCCGCAGCCACGUUCCAGCUCCCCUCAGCUCCUCUGCUCUGGGCUGAGGAAACCCAGGGCCCUCAGCUGCUCCUCAUACAUCUUCCCUUCUAGACCACUGCCAGGGCUUUUCGUAUGAACAAGAGAGAGAACUGAAAGCUUUUUACUUCUUUACUUUUACUUCUUCCUGCCUGCCCGCUCCCACAGCCAGGACUCGGUGGUGGGGUGCAGUGGGCCCAGACCAGACCUUGCCGCAGCACUGGUGCUGCAGAUGGUGGGACGGGGCCUUGGCACGGCUGCCAUGUCAGUGGGGAGAAGGUGCUGGUAACUCCAGGUAAUUUGCUUCCAUUUCACCUGCAAAAGGAACUUGGCAAGAGACUCUCAGGCAAGCAAUAAGCCUCAGACAUGCACUCUUCAUGGAAAUGAAAAUGGGGAAACUUCAAUACAGUUAAGAGAGCAUUUCCCAUUAGAAGACAUUGAAGCCAAAGGAAAAGAAAAUCCUAGGCAGGUCUGCCCACAGACUUCUUUUUCUCGUUCUUCUUCUACAUUUGUCAGCACUGCUGUCACCUGGUACUGGCAGCUCUGCAGUGGGAAUUUCCUUUCUCUCUGAUUUUCUUGUAGCAUUAUCACAAUCAGGAAUUGUAUGUACAACAACCGUACCUUUCAACUAAAGGAAAAGACCUUUUCGGCAAGGUCUUUCUUCAUGUCUUCUAUAGUCUCCCUUCAAAAGAUAUAAUGAAAACUAUUUUCUCAAGUUAAACAAAUCAGGAAUUAUUAGAAGCAUGCAGCUACUAUUUUGCCUCUGGUGGCAUCUCAUGUAAUUUCCAGGUAAUUUCCAGGUAAUGUAUUAAUGUUUGGACAUCACUGUCCUAUCUCCUUGCUUGUACCACUUUCUUUUGCUAACCCACAGGAUUCAGGUCUCCUGCUGGAAAGCACAGACCUAACCCCAGUGUUGCUUGACUCCUAUAAUGAGUGCAAAGAAAUAAACAUGUUCACUGACCAGUUUGCAAAGCCCCGAAGUUAAACCCCUGCCUCUCAGCCCAUACAGAGAAAGGUUUUGCCUUGCUGAUUCAGCAGCAAAGCCGAGGCACCAUGAGGCACUGUGGGAAACCCACCUCUGUGCACCUCCCAACUCUGUUAUGCCUUUGCCAGUGCUGCUAUGAUGCUGUUUCAGUGACUGGCUCCCGCCUGCUCUCUUGCCCAUGGGCUUGCCCCCUCUUUGCAUUUUGGGACCUUUUGAGCUUGUUCUUUUCUUCCCCUGCCAGUUUACCCCUCUUUUCCUUCCCCCUCUGCUAACAGCUCUCCUGUCCUCCCAGCCCUGCUCUCUGCACUCAGCUCAGUGAGCUCAUGGUGUGCCUCUGUCCCUGACAGAAAGGGACACCAGCCCUGUCCCCCACCCCAGCACGUGCUCAUGCUUUUGCUCUAAUGCUUUUCUUUGUGUCCUUUUUAUUUUCCCCCUCUCUCUUAAGGUGGGAUCUGUCUUUCCUUAUACCAGACAGUGUGAGCAGAGAGAAACCAGACUCAAGGUAAAAUUCCCAUUAACAUUAGAGGGGGCAGGAUUUCACCUCAAGUGUUUCAUGUUCUGGGUGCUGGACAACAACAUGAAAGGACUCCGCACUUGUAAAACUUGAACUGUUGCAGCCAUUUGAGCCAAGCAAAUGCAGAUGCAGAUGCUGGUGCCCCCUCUAAGCCCCUCACUGUGGCCAUGCAUGCUUCUUCCAAGACUGGUGAAGGUCAUUAAUCUCUUCUUAGCUGUUUAUUGAUGCCAUGAUGGCAGCUCUUGCUGAGCACGGAGUUCCUCCUGCACAACCUGGGCCAGGCACUGACUUUUACUGCUGCCGCCCCACAGUACCUCCAGCCUCACUGCCUUUCAAGUGCACCCCCCUUCAAUCCGUCUUCCACAUCUUGUUUGUGUUAUUGCUACUGAUGGAGCUUUACAAGCCUCUGGCUGCUUGGAUGCUGCUAGCUGAUGCCUCGCUGCUUCCUGUCUUCCUGGGACACCUCAUUCCCCCACCACUCUGGUGUCAAAUCAAAUUUCUGAAAUAUUACUGUGUCCUCUAUACUUACUGGUGGCCUUCCGCUGACCUGUUUUCAGUUUUGUCCCCACUGCUACCCUGAGUCUGCAAAGCCCCAUGGCCUGCUGCAGAUCCCACUGAUGCCUUUUGCCUUGGUCUUCCCCUUGGUCGCAGUUUCUGGUGGCUUCAUAUCCUUGGCUCCAUUUAUUGCGGCAAGCUUGCAGGUCUGCCCCUGCCUUGUCCUGCCUCUGCCUACUUACAGCCUGUCAGCUUCCCCUGGAGUCUUGAUUUUCUCACUCAUGAGUCUCUUGCUGAACUGCUGUUUAGUCCCCAGGAGGGCUGCUGCAGGAGCACAGUUUUUUCAAGUAGACAUCUCUCUUGUCUAUGCAGUUCUUGCUCCUGGCUCUUUGCUGUCAUUGCUGUCUUUCACUUGUUGGGGGGUACCCAGGGGAAAAUGUCUUGUGCUCAAAUUCCCCUGGUAGUGAAAUAUUGGAAUUUUACUGCACUGCAUUGCAACCUAUUGUCUGAAAAUAGCAUGUCAGGCUUUGAAAAAGUACCUCAUGCUCCAUGAUCUCAGUUCUUGCUUGAAUGCCCUUCACUUAGGCAGUUAUUUUUUUUAGAAAGAGAAUUACCAAUUUGCUAUUACCAUAUAGUUCAUGUCUUUAAAAUUGAGUGAGUCCAUUCUGGUCAUUUUUUAAAGCUUUUUUUUUUCUUGGACUGAUCACUUGAUGCUUGCACACUUUGCAGUGAGCAUCCCAUUCUGGCAUCAGAGCUACUCCCUGGCUUAAUGGCAUGUCCGUCCCCUGUCACAGUCUGCUGGGACCAUAGCUUUGGCUGCUGUCCCUGGCUACAGAUGGCCUCCUACCAAGCAGCAGCAAGAGCUUCUUUGGCAGCACCCUCUUGCAGUUGGCUAUAAGCUGCCUUACUCUCUGCAGCACCCCAAGUUUUCAGUGCUCCGUUAGAUGCCUGGGCAUCUCAACACAUUGCCAGCAUGUGUUAAAUACUGUUUGUUUGCCUCAGAGAAAUGCACUUUGGAUGUUGUUGCCGUGGUACAACUUUAUGUUCUACAAAAGUACUAAAAAUAACCAUGUAGUUGCUUGUGCAAUUUAAUGUGUCAUCAGGACUUCUCAGGGAUCUUUACUGUGACUCUGCCCAUCUGCUCCAUGCCCAAGGCUGAACUAAAAGAUUCAAUGGAAAUAGGGGGUGGAAACUCUUCUCUCAGCCUUGCUCUGUUCUUGGGGACGGCCGUGCUCUGCCAGCAGCUGCCCAGGGCUGCAGGAUUCUGCCCUGUUUUCUGCCAGGUGUCCUCGUGAGGAUGCCAGGAGCCCUGGCUGUCCUGCAGAACUGGGGCUGGCAUUUCACCAGGGAAGCCAUCGGGGUGCCUGUUCCAGGGCUCCCAAGAGUGAGGAAAGACAGCAGCUGUCUGUCUGUACAAAUGGCCAGAUGUCUUUUGGUUGGACUUGUCACUCAGAGUUCUUCAGAAAUCAACAGGUGUCAAACGGAGGAGAUUAGCACUGAACUAAACCUGUUUCGCACUAAUAUUCUCCUGACCUUUGUGCUGAGGUGGCAGAGUGCAGCCACGCGUUCCCAAUGGCUUUCUCUGGCGUACCGCUCUGUCUGUAACAUGCUCACUGUGCUGGGGAGACUCUGGUGCCAGCUCAGCUCUCACUGCAGCAUCUCCAAGCCUGGAUGAACGCCGGGCACUCCCUGCCAAGCUCCUGCCAGCAGCUGCAGCCAGUGCUGGUAGGAGGCUGAUGGCUCAUCUGGCUCAGGAAGCCAAGACUUCCCGAGGGCAGUGUGGCAAAUGCUCUGUGCACUACUAGGGAGCGUUUCCUCAGCCAUUAAUAAUUCUCAAUAUUCAGCUCAGCCGCACUGGGACAGCGUGGAUGCUGUGCUUACCUGGCGGCUUUCUCACAGUGUCAGGCAGAGUCUUCCUAUGCUGGGAUUAGAGGAUGAAUGACGCGCGUCCUUUUGGACUGUCUCACCAAAACAAAAGGCCUGCAGCUUGGCAGUCAGAUCUGCACCCUGCAGAGCAGCACACACCUCAGCCUUCAGAGGUUGUUCUCCCCCUGGACCUCUUCCCUGGAGGACCACACAGACCCUGCCUAGACUUCCCUCCUGGUGCAGAUGUGGGGGUGCUCCAAGCUCAGGUGAUGGCAGCUCUGGCUGCGCUGUAGGAUUUUUGGAGUUUUGUCCCCUUUCUCCAUCUCACCCUGCUCUUCAGCAAUGCCCCACGUGCUUGGCUUCACCAACAAUCAUUUCACUUUCUUCUGUGACCAGCACUGCAAACUGCCUUCUCUCUGGUGGUUUGUCCUUUUUCCUUUUUUCUGCUAUACCUGCUGUAUUAAAAUAAGAAGUGAUGUGUUUCUCCAGCCCUUUCACUCUUAUUUAAUGGCUAGGAAUUGGUUUUCAGCUUUUGUGUUGCCCCUUGCAUUAAAUAUCCUGGAGCUAUGGUACUACAGUCUUGGCCUAUAUCCUUGCGGGUUCUUUCAGAAUAGAGCUACAUAUCUGCUCUACCCUGAUAUUAUUAAUACUUUUUUUUUUUUCCCCCAGGACAGUUUGAUGGCCCUUACAAUUUUGCAGCAUUUAUCUAUGGCUUAGAACCUUUUCUUUCACCAGUCACUCCUACAGGUUGGAAACAUGCAACUCAGGUGACCUGGUCACUAAUUCCCGUGUGUGGUACAAAUCUCUAUUUCCUUAGGCAGCCAUCUGCUUGGAGCAGGCUAUCACCCAACUCUGUUAUGCAUUGUUUCUGUGUUUCGGGAAUUAUUCUUUGCUGAAGUUUCACUUACACAUUGUCAUCUAGUGUGUUGAGAGUAAGCACAAAACCAAGACAAAGUCAAUUAAAAAUCUUUACCUUUGA
Tympanuchus pallidicinctus (lesser prairie-chicken) is the source of this 6587-nucleotide long non-coding RNA. RefSeq lists it as uncharacterized. The transcript has 3 exons. NCBI's taxonomy places the organism in Eukaryota, Metazoa, Chordata, Aves, Galliformes, Phasianidae. The record is from RefSeq and is a predicted model, not a curated record.